GGCUUUUGUGGAGCGAUGGGUAACAAUGCUUCGUGGGUGACUGUUGUUGAUGUGUGCAGAGGGUCCCUGGUUCGCGCCCGGGUAUGGGCGAGGGGACGGUCUAAAGUUAUACUGUUACAAAUGCACAUGACUGCUUGUACCACAAUUCUGUUUUAAAAAGCAAACCUAAAAGUUAAUUUAACUAUUUUAUGAUAAAGACAGGCGUUGAAGCACAUUAGAGUGACUACCCCUAAAAACCAUUGAAUGGGGUUCUGCUGUUUCAUCACCCCCAACGCGUUUAAAGGAUCACAGACGUUUUAGACUGAAAAGCCCUAUACGGACUGACCAUGCAAUGCAUGCUUCCAGCAGGAUGCACAGCCAACUGGUUUGCAUGCCCUGCCGAAGGACUAGGUGGUUGGAGUUCGUUGGUGAGUAUACCGGUAGCUAGGUGAUAGACUGCUGGUUAUGUAUCAGGUUAUGUAUAUUUUGAUCAUCGUUAUCGCUAGCAUAGUAGAUGCUAGUUACCCUAACUAGCUAGAUGGCUGGCUAACAUUAGCCUACCUCAAUACAACUUAGUCGAAGAAACACGAGAACAUUUCAGAUGUACGCAAAUCCUUUAUAGGAAAAACUUUUUUCAGAAUUGUGAUGUCACCAGAUUAACUGUGGAUGCAGUAUAACUUUAGCCAGGUAACUAAGAUUGAGGGGACCACCAUAUUUUAGUUAGCUAACUUUAGCAUUGCUAGCUAUUUUUUACUUACAUUGCUAGUAACAGUAAUUGCUAUCUCUCUAAAGUCAAUUGACAACAUCAUAAUAUGUGACUCGUUUCAGGAAACUAGGGGUAUACGUCACUAUUUCACAGGAGAGCCAAUUGAAUUUAAACGUUGUUUUUUUUAGCAAAAUGUGUUUUAUGGCAGAAAUGAACUUUCAUGUGCCUUAAUAACAGACUUGUAUGCCAUCUGUAAAUAUGAAUCAAAUUGUUAAAUUAUGAGCCUAAUUGGUUUAACCACAGAAAAAGAAAGGAUCCUUACCUCUAGCCAUGAUUGGCUCAGAUAAUGGAUGGGCUGGACAUGCCGAGCCAUGAGUUCUGAUUUUUCUGCCAUGUAGGACGCUUCUGUCUAUAACAUGAGCUGGUCAGUAUGUGUAGGUAUUCCUUUAUAACGCUGCUUUUUUGAAAGAUAUUACGUAGUAGAACUGCAAAAGUGUUGCUCUCCACUUUCUGGAGGGCCAAGAUUUGAAAUCAGUGGAAUGCCCGGUGGAAUUAGAGUAUGAUAGCUAAGGAGAUGGAGAAAAUGCUGGCAUUUGAUGGCAAAUAUGCAAAGGGAUCGAAAAGAGAACACCUAUCUCCGGAUUACAUCUUCAAACUAAGGGCAACCAUGGGAUCCGUGACAGAGAGGGAGAAGCGUCCAUCCAUGUAUACGGGUAAGAGAGUCUAGCUAGCUACAUUUUCAGAUAUUAUAUGUUUCUAAUUUAGUCAGAAAGUAGUUUUCAUUUCACGUUAAAGCAUACUUUUAGCUAGCUAGCCAACGUUAGCUGGCUGACUCGUCAACUAACGUUAUGCUUAUGAUCUGGGUAGUAAUAUUAUUCAUAUUUGAGCCAUUUGCAUUACUAGUUAUAGCCUAAUGUUAACUAGAUAGCUAACAUGUAACUUGGUUGGUUAGCUACCUGCAGAUUCAUGCGGGGUAGUAAUGUUAUGAGUUCGGAUAAUUGUUGAGCUAGCUAUGAGCUAUGUGUCUAAACAAAAUGAUAUCACUGCGACAACUGUCGAUACACAUAGUAUAAACCACCUUCUAGUCUUGAAAUCGCCUCAUGUGAAUAUUUAAAGAGAUGGGUGGGGCUAAGGCUUAAGAAGGUGUGAACGAUGCUGAAUGGGUGUAGAAAAAUGAAAGCUCUCUAGGUUUCUAGGUUUACCAAAACAUUCAAGGGAAAUUUUCUCAAAAGUUUAUCAAUUUUCAAAGCAGAAUUACUUUCCCAUUGUUCCUCAACUGUAGUGUAUAAUAUACAAUUUUCUAGCUCGGAGUUUCUACUUUUAUCCAAUGUAAAAAACACAAUUUCAAGUUUUGCUACAUAAGAUCGAGCCAGUUGGUCACAUAUGGCAAAGUUGUUUCCUACUAAUUAUUUGCCAACUUUUGCAUGUCAACAUAUAUCCAUGCCACUCUAAAUUAGUGUCAUUUAGACAACAGUCACAUUAGCCUCUGAAGUGCAACCCAUGUUUAGGGCACACAUAAAUAUUGGAUGCAACUAUGGUGGUACCAUCUAACUUAUGUAUGUACUAACUAGCAGUAACAAACCAACCCAGGGCCAUAGCAAAACAUAUGACAGUUGGUUGCAUACUGUAACGGCGUCACCGGCCUUAAUCUAAUCUGGGUACCAGACUGAUCCCCUGGUCAUGAACAGAUGCCGGGACCUUCCAGAAGGAGUGAAGGUGGGUAUCAUAUAGUGCUGAGCGAUUAGUGCUUUUUGAGGUCAUUUCGGUUUGAUUAUAAAAAAAAAUGUUUUAUCAUGAACUGUUGACAUGAAAUGCAGUAUGCAUUAUGUGGGUUGAAAGCUGUAACAACACAGAAUACAACUAUUAAUAAAAGUCCCAUGAUGGUAGUGACUGCCCAUUACUGUAAAUCACUUAUUAACCAUUCAUAUUGCACAUUACUUAAACAUUUGUUUAAUUUGAUGACUUUAUUAUUUCAUUCCAAGUCAUCAUAUCAUCUCUAUAGAGCUGCUCCCUAUGCCAUCUGACAAAAUCACAAUUUUAGUAGCUCUUCAAAGUAAAUAAGGCAUACUUCUAUGACUGCUGAAAACCAACUAUCAAUCACUUGGAUCAUGUAUUUCAGGUAGACAUACUUUGCGAAGCAACUGCUUUCUAUCCCUCUUGAUUGCACAUUCUCUGUUCUGUCAAUUUCUGUGGGUCUCAGUGCUCCACACAGACCAGUCAAGUAGGUGGGCACGCAAUGGAUUAUCGUCAUUGUAGUUAAUUACCACGUUUUCUGCGCUAAACUAUGUAGAAUUUUGGCCUGUUGAAAACUACAACUCCGUUAAUUGCUCAGCACUAGUAUCAUAACAUGUCCAGCAAUGUGAUUCAAAUGGUUUAGCAAUCUCCAAAAAGUAUUUUAUUCACUGUUCACUUGCUAUUUUCACAGCUUGUCAAACAUUUUUUAAAAACUGUGUCAUGUGACACAAGUACCCUUCUGACACCUCCUCCGUUGUUGCCAGAGUCUCCCUCGAUUGCUAUGAAAAGGACACGCCAUCAUGAAGCCUCUGAUAGUAACCCGAGUUACUACCCUGAUGACACAGAUAGCUUCAUCAACAACGACAGGCUCUUUCAGUCAACACCACCUCAUAAGAUUGCCUGCUGCAGUUGUUCGAGAGCUAUCUAGUUUGCCGCCAAAAAUGCAGCAUCGAAAAGACCAGCAAGUGGGCUGUCAUCAGCAUCAUGCAGACAUGACCUCGCUGUGAGCAUUCCUAUGAAUGUUGACAAGUAUCCGGCCAGCAACAUUCACCUGUCAGCAGCAACAGCUUUCACAGGCUCAUCAUUUGUACAAAUGCAGAAGUAACUUUGAUGAGGGGCCAGGGACUGAUCUACGCUGCCAUGCCCAUCAAUGGGGUGCUGGCAAAGACCUCACCCCAGCCUCACAUCUUGCCUGCUCACCAACGGGCGUCGAUAUGGAGAACAGACUUCAACGUAGUAUAUAUUUGUGUGUCAGAUAUCACCUAUCCCUAACUCACGUAGGUAAUAGAACAGUGACUGUGUGUGUGUGUUCACAGAUGCAUGAGAUGCAGAGAGAUCUGGCGCUCAACACAACCACUCAACACAUCCACAAUAAGAUGGACUGGAGAUGCUUUUGCCAGACGGCAGCCUCAGGUGUUUGAUCGGGAGACCAUCAUUGGAAACAUAUAUGGAGCCAGCACAUGGAGACUUGCAAGAUGAUGUGAUGAAGUCCAGACUGACAGACGGGCUUGUUACUGAUGUCUCUGAAUGAAGAGAGAUUUGGUAUAAAAGUUUUACUAGACACAACUUUUACUUGUAUUGUCUUUUUUCAAGUUUUUUAUUGAAUUGAAUGGUAUCAGUCGAUAUGGGGAGGUAGAAACCCUUUGUAUUCUGCACCAGGGUCAGGCAACUCCUGUUGUAUACGGGACGCCACACAGGAAGGUAUGACCACUCUUGACAUGUUUGCCAAGGUAGCCUCAUUACCACUAGACCGGAUCCGUAUCGGCUGGGAAUGACAAUGAAAGAGGAAAGAUUGUUAUAUUAGUAGAACACUGCUUCUGUGGUAUUAUGGAAAGGGUUGUUUAUUCUACAUGGGCCUGUUUCUACAUUUGAAAGUUAUUAAAACCCUGUAAAAACAACACAUUUCCCUGCACCUAUUUGGUGUAUGUGACAAUAAAACAAGGGCACACCCAAUUAACACCCACAUCAAACCACACCCCUCAGCCAACUCACAUUUGGCUUCCGUAAUGGCUGCCAGUAUUUCUUGAGGAGGAUGCCCAAAAAAAAAAAAAGAGGCCAAAUCAGCGGGUGCAGUUCCUCUUUAAAACCAGCAUAAACAAGUAAUAGCAAUGUAGAGAAAAUCUGUGAACUCUUUUCAGCUAACCAGACGUUCCUUUGAGGCCUACAUUGUAGGCAUGCUCCCUACACAUUCUGGCUUGCAAGUCCUGCUACUACUAUAUAGAAACAAACAAUUCUGUCCACUUUUUGCUCAUGUACUCUGUUCUCUUCCAAAAAUGUGGGCUUAGUUAUCUUGAAUCUGUGGGCAUUGCUUCUCUAACCAUGAGAAUUGGAUUAGCCGUCCAUGCCUAGCCUAGAAUACUUGGCAGGUCUUAGUGUCUGGGUUCACUGGACCUCUCUCUAUUAGACCCAAUGCCCCCCCCCCAAUUCAAUUUGGGGAAAUUACCAACAGCAUGCUCUGCUGCUUAGGACAUGGUCCUAAUGCAAAUCAAUGGCCUUCAUUUCUAAAAGUGGGUUUGACAGCGAUGUGGCAGACAAAUGUAUUUUUCCAGAGUUUGUUUUGCAGACUGAGACAAACCUCACGCAACCUCAUGUUGACUUUUAAACUAAUUGGUGAUUAUGUUUUGUCCUGCGAUGUGAUUUGAGAAAGGGAGCAUUGCGAUUGUAGGACCAUAAGCAAGGGAAACAUCAAGGGUUCUUGCAGUGGCUCUGAGUACUCAUUAAAAAAAAUGUGGUUAUUGAACUGUUUUCAGCUUGCUGUGGCGUUUGAUAACAUAGCCUUGUGGAUGCAUGAUGCCCACUCAGCCAGCAAGUAGGGACUUAAACUCAGACUGGGUUGUGCUAAUUUUGUCCACUCUACAAAAUGUGUUAUUGGACGUUAGGAUGUUACCUCGGGUGAAAUCUUGAGAAGGUCGCUGUCAGCUACACAUUUAUCCUCUGACUUCACACUGAGUGGCAAAGGAAAUGUGCCAUAGAGAAUGAACAAUCAUGACUGUGUCACUGUUGAAACAUUUGUUUACAGUGGAGAUUUAAGAUUUCCUUGAUCUUUUUUGACAAUCCCUGAAGUGAGCCAAUGCCGAAAAGCAGGUCAUUGCAUAUUCGCACAAUUUGUCAUGCGCUCGCUGUAAUAUGAACAAUGGUGGUGUACAUGUACUAGCCAACAAAAGCAUGUCUGUUUGGAAUGUACAGAUGUCGCCACAGAGGUUACCUCAUUUUGUGGGUGUCAUUAUGCUGUAUAUCAUUCUAUGUUGGAAUUUGUUUAAUGUGAUGUUGGCUGCCCAGCGCUUCGGUCAUAUUUUAUUCUCACUGGGAUCAUUAGCCUAAGUAGAGAACAGUGUCUCCAUGUCUUGUUUGUAUGCAUAUCCUGCCUGCAAACCACAUUUCCGGGUCACCUAAAUCCAAACAGUGUAAUUAUUAUUAUACAUUUUUGGGGGAUGGAAAAAUGAUUAAAGUGAAAACUAAAACAACUAAACUCAGAUAUAAAUGUAGAAAACAUAAUGGACUUGUACACUGAGUGUACAAAAUAUGUGCUCUAUGAUCCCUUAUUGAUGUAACUUGUUAAAUCCAUUUCAAACCAGUGUAGAUGAAGGGGAGGAGACAGGUUACAGAAGGAUUUUUAAUCCUUGAGACAACUGAGACAUGGAUUGUGUGUGUGUGUGUACCAUUCAGAAGGUGAAUGGGCAAGACAAAAUAUUUAAGUGCCUUUGAAAGGAGUAUGGUAGCUGGUGAUAGGCACACCAGUUUGUGUCAAAAACUUCAACGCUGCUUGGUUUUUCACGCACAACAGUUUCCCGUGUGUAUCAAGAAUGGUCCACCACCCAAAGGACAUCCAGCCAACUUGACACAACCGUGGGAAGCAUUGGAGUCGACAUGGGCCAGCAUCCCUGUGGAAC
Non-coding RNA from Oncorhynchus mykiss (rainbow trout), 6309 nucleotides. The record is from RefSeq and is a predicted model, not a curated record. NCBI's taxonomy places the organism in Eukaryota, Metazoa, Chordata, Actinopteri, Salmoniformes, Salmonidae.